This is a small nucleolar RNA of Psammomys obesus (fat sand rat), 128 nucleotides long. RefSeq annotates it as small nucleolar RNA SNORA17. The transcript has a single exon. The record is from RefSeq and is a predicted model, not a curated record. NCBI's taxonomy places the organism in Eukaryota, Metazoa, Chordata, Mammalia, Rodentia, Muridae.
UGUGCCCCAGAGGUGUUGUAGGUGUGGCUGCUGUGCCACAUGUGAGUCAGUAGGAGGCACAGAGGAGAGGCUCUGCUUACUCUCAGGGUCUGACCUAUGAACGUCUGAAUGAUUGAUAGCCUAACAUU